Molecule: long non-coding RNA, 2172 nt
Filed under: Sus scrofa (pig)
Lineage: Eukaryota; Metazoa; Chordata; Mammalia; Artiodactyla; Suidae
Description: lncRNA (ENSSSCG00015049108.1)
Source: RNAcentral
CAUUUGUACAGGUGGGUUUUCUGGAGACAUUGGUCGUAGUUCCUAGGGUGCCUUAGAAGUGCUUCACGACCCCCCCCUUAGUCACACUUGUAUUGAACACGUGUACUCAGAGACUGAGAUUUAAUAUAGUACUACUUUUGUUAUUUUGUUUGUUUUUGUUUUGUUUUUGUUUUUGUCUUUUUAGAGCUGCAUCCGAGGCAUAUGGAGCUUCCCAAGCUAGGGAUCUAAUUGGAGCUGUAGCUGCUGGCCUAGGCCAGAGCCACAGCAACACCAGAUCAGAGCCGCGUCUGCAGCCUACACCACAGCUUACGGCAGCACUGGAUCCUGAACCCACUGAGUGAGGCCGGGGAUUGAACCUGAAACCUCAUGGUUCCUAGUCGUAUUUGUUUCUGCUGUACCACGAUGGGAACCCCCAAACCUUUUAAAUUAAAAAAAAAAUGUUUUUUUGGGCUGUGCGUGCAGCGCAUGGAAGGAAAUUCCUGGCCCAGGGAUGAAACUCAUGCCAAGCAGUGACUCAUAUAGCAGUGACAGUGCUGGAUCCUAAACCUGCUGCGCCACCAGGGAACUCUGAAGUGAUACUUUUUAAUAACUCACUCAUCCAGGAUGUUCUAAAACUGUUUAAUUCUUUUUUUUUUUUGGACUUUUCUUGGGCUGCACCCGUGGCAUAUGGAGGUUUCCAGGCUAGGGAUCUAAUCAGAUUUGUAGCCUCCGGCCUACGCCAGAGCCACAGCAACACUGGAUCUGAGCCAAGUCUGUGACCUACCCCACAGCGCAUGGCAAUGCCAGAUCCUUAACCCACUGAGAGAGGCCAGGGAUCCAACCGGAAACCUCAUGGUUCCUAGUCGGAUUCAUUAACCACUGAGCUACGACGGGAACUCCUGAAACUGUUUAAUUCUUUUAAAAGUUAAUUAAUUUAUUGAAAUGUGUGUGUGGCAGUGAAGAAUACAGUGACCAGUAAUACAGUUUGGGGCUGCUGCUAACGUGGCUGCAGUUUCCGCCACCCUUGUUUUUGUAUUGGUGCAAACCUAAAUACAGGAAAAUGGGAACGUAAGAUCUGAGUGCUGUUAUGAUAAUGAUUUUGACCUUCAGGAUCCCCAAAAGGGUCUUGGGAACCCUACGGAUCCACAGACCACCCUGAGGAUUGCUGCCUUAUGGGAUAAAGUCCAAACCUUUCCACACAGUCUAAAGACUGCUCUGUUCUCUGUCCCUGUUGACCUUUCUAAUUUUUCCUCUCAUCUGCCUGUACCUCACCUUUUCCCUGCACCUCAAAAUGUGGCCCUUUUGUCACAUGCACUUCCAUGACAUUUCCUUUGCCCUCUUCCUUGUCCCCCCCUCGCCCGCUGUGGCUCUGGCUGACAUCCUUCUAGGCCAAACUGGGCUUCCCUCCCAACCAUUAGUUGUUUUCCCUCUGAUUCCCACCAUCUUCCCAGGCUUAUCACUCUGCCUCUUUCCUAGGUCCCUCUGAUGUACAAUUUUUAAUUUCUUAUUUAUUUAUGUAUGUAUUUAUUUUUUGCUUUUUAGGGCCGUACCUGCGAUAUACAGAGGUUCCCAGGCUAGGGGUCCAAUUGGAGCUACAGCUGCCAGCCUACGCCACAGCCACAGCAAUGUGGGACACGAGCCGCGUCUGUGACCUACACCCCAGCUCACAGCAAUGCCGGAUCCUUAACCCACUGAGCGAGACCAGGGAUCGAACCUGCAACUUCAUGUGAAACAUUUGAACAAAUAGAUGGUGAGAUAUUUUUUGGAGGCUUCUGCUAUGUCAGAAAUCAUAUUACAGGAUUUCCAUGAUGGGUCAUGGUUUAAGGAUCUGGCGUUGUCACUGCUGUGGCUCUGGUUACUGUUGUGGUGUGGGUUUGAUCCCUGGCCUGGGACCUUCCACAUGCCACAGGUUUGGCCCAAAGAAAGAAAGAAUGAGAGAAAGAAAGAAGUGGUAUGGAGUUCCGUCGUGGCUCAGUGGUUAGGGAAUCCGACUAGGAACCAUGAGGUUGCGGGUUCUUUCCUUGACCUUGCUCAGUGGGUUAAGGAUCCGCCAUUGCCCUGAGCUGUGGGGUAGGUUGCAGAUGCGGCUCGGAUCCUGAGUUGCUGUGGCUGUGGUGUAGGCUGGUGGCUACAGCUCCAAUUCAACCCCUAGCCUGGAAACCUCCAUAUGCCGCGGGAGUGGCUCAAGAAAUG